GGGGGGGUGGGGAAGGGGCGGAUCCGGUUGGGAGCGAUGGCGGGGGCGAUGCUGCUGCUGGUUGGAACAGGCCGGCGGUAAGGGUUUGGCUCCGAGGUGGCUCUCCGGCCGUUCCGACGGCUGGCAAAGCGGCUGGGAAUAUGGGCCAUCCCGGCGUACGUGGUGGCCCACACCGUCGCCCUCGCGCUCUGCUGCCUCCCCUAGGCCGUCUUCUUCGAGGGCAAUUUUUGGGAACUCAAAACCAGUAGCAGAGUGGGCACACAGCAGCAGAUACUUCCGUCUCCUUGCCAGAGGAGUUGAACGCAAUGGUUGGAGAUUUGUGCUUCUUCCUCGGUUCUCACCCUUGCCCUCUUAUGUCAUUAACUAUGGAUUGGCUGCCACUUGAGUCUCCGAUUGACUGAUCAAGUGGACCCAACUGCUGUCUUGUCACAACUACGGCAUUAAAGUUUUCAUUGACAUGAAAGAUUCAAAAGGAGACAGAGAGCUGGGGGACCGUGUUAUGUUGGUGGUUGUUGAGUCCAUGUCUGUGUGCUCAAAAUUAAUACAGGUCAGGCAUGUCUACGUGAAAAAAAUGGCAGAGACCACAAGAGAGUUGGAGAUUGGAAUGGUGGAAGUGGCAGCCACAGAGUCGUUGAUUUCUGGUGUUGGUCAAGACGAGAGAGGGCUAUCAACAGAUGGGAACAAGAACUGAGUCAGGGGUGGGUGAACUCAUGCCUCACACAUGAAACAGAGAUGAGGGUCGUGAGGAGGAUGUCACACGACACCGUUCAGAUUAUGAAUGAUACAAGAGGCAGGUGGGGUGAAAGGGAGAGGGCUUCAUCUUGUGACAGAGCUUGACCGUAUGCCUUGGUGUUUCAACUGGAUGCUCUCUUUUUCUUUGUGUGUGCAGUGCAAUGAAACUUUGCAAUAGAUGCGGCCUCCUCUAUGACCACAUCCAGAAGUAAGGGAAGUCCAUCUUAUAUUUUCUACAGGUUACCAGAAAGCAGAAAAUUGUCAUAUCUCAAUAAUGAGGAGUCUUUGUCUGAAAGAUUAUCCUGCUCAGCAGUAUCUCUGAGACCAAUAAGAUUUAAAUAUUUUCUCGAAGAUUUUCUCAGAAAUUACACCAGUUUUUGUACCCCCUCAAACAUUUUGUAGUCUGUAGGUAGGCUUUGACUUGUCAAAAAGAAAUGUUGUUCAUGAUAUUUUGUUUUCUUUUCUUUUCCUAUCAGACUUCUUGAAGAAAAAUUGCAGUUUGUUUUGUUAA
Musa acuminata AAA Group (dessert banana) is the source of this 1243-nucleotide long non-coding RNA. RefSeq lists it as uncharacterized. The record is from RefSeq and is a predicted model, not a curated record. The transcript has 3 exons. NCBI's taxonomy places the organism in Eukaryota, Viridiplantae, Streptophyta, Magnoliopsida, Zingiberales, Musaceae.